AAAAUGAACAAUUUAUUGCAAAAAGCAAUUUAUAAAUAAAUAAAUAGCGUGAAAAGUAACAAAUGUAAAGUAUAUUUUGCAUUUUAUAUUCGAUGCAAUUUUGUAAGUAUACAAACAAUAAAUUAAAUUUAACAUGGCAGUUUUUACAAAUGUAAGGAAACAUAAAUGUAGACAAUGCUUCAUAGUGAAGAAAUCGGAAGCAGUGUAGCAUUGACAACAUACCUAUACCAAAAGUAGAAACAGCGUAGACACUGAGAGCAGUAUAGAAAAGAAACAUGCAUAUACCAUAAAUAGAAACAGUGUAGAAAUCGUGAGCAGUAUAGAAAAGAAACAUGCAUAUACCAUAGAAACAGUGUAGAAAUCGUGAGCAGUACAGAAAAGAAACAUGCAUAUACCAUAAAUAGGUGCAUAUACCAUAAAUAGAAACAGUGUAGAAAUCGUGAGCAGUAUAGAAAAGAAACGUGCAUAUACCAUAAAUAGAAACAGUGUAGAAAUCGUGAGCAGUACAGAAAAGAAACAUGCAUAUACCAUAAAUAGAAACAGUGUAGAAAUCGUGAGCAGUACAGAAAAGAAACGUGCAUAUACCAUAAAUAGAAACAGUGUAGAAAUCGUGACAUAUACCAAAGUAAACACAGAGUAUAGACAUUGACAGCUGUAUAGAAAAGAAACACAUAUAUCA
This is a long non-coding RNA of Mercenaria mercenaria, 679 nucleotides long. RefSeq lists it as uncharacterized. The record is from RefSeq and is a predicted model, not a curated record. NCBI's taxonomy places the organism in Eukaryota, Metazoa, Mollusca, Bivalvia, Venerida, Veneridae. The transcript has 2 exons.